Molecule: transfer-messenger RNA, 381 nt
Filed under: Christensenellaceae
Lineage: Bacteria; Bacillati; Bacillota; Clostridia; Christensenellales
Also listed under: 1 other name
Description: UBA10281 sp900554485 Standard tmRNA
Rfam family: transfer-messenger RNA
About the family: Bacterial tmRNA, also known as 10Sa RNA or SsrA, is named for its dual tRNA and mRNA-like properties. Its role is to liberate the mRNA from a stalled ribosome. To accomplish this part of the tmRNA is used as a reading frame that ends in a translation stop signal.
Source: RNAcentral
GGGGGUGCAACGGUUUCGACUGGGUAAAAAAGGAACGAUAUAAGCAUACCGCAGGGCUGCGACUGCGUUAAAACGCGGGCUAAAUUCAAAUGCUAAAUCUGAAAACAACACGGUAAGAUAUAACAACAAUCUUGCUUUCGCUGCGUAAUUAAAGCGGCGGCGUCGCUGCGUUUUUUCCCGUCGGGAGCGUAUGCGGCGUCAAUUAAGACGGGGAACGCCUUAAAAAGAGUAGUCUUGCUUUUUAAGGGGCUUUUUAAGACCGACGUUAUCUUGUAGCCCGUAUCCGGACGGCAGGUAAAAGAGAUUAAACGGAUACUAAGUAUGUAGAAGGUCGUUUUGUUUUUGCGCAACACAGGAGUUCGACUCUCCUCACCUCCACCA